UCUGCAAUACUAAAUCUCUCUAAAUCAAGCUCUUUCUCUAAUUAUAUUUUAAGAAUAUAAUAAAAACGAAAACCAGUGACGAAUUUAAAUAAAGAAUUAUAGCAUUUAAAUUAUACUGUAAACAAGUGUAAUUAUUUAUUGCUCUGAGGUAAAAAUAAAGUUGGUAGAAUAGUAGUUAAUUAAAUUUUGCUGACGUAAACGGUGUGGUGUAGCCACAGGGUGUAGCAUAUUGAAUUUCAGUUUUUCAUUACUAGUUCACUACCUAGUACCUACUUUGUUCAACUAUAAAACAGUUUCAAACUGUUUUUGAAGCCAGAGAAGAUAAUAUUUUUAAAUAUUCAAUGAUGUGGAUAAUACGCGGAUAAAAUGAACAUUUUAUUUCCUGCACGGUCUCGAAGUUCGAACCGCCAUUAUGAUUUAAGAUUGAGGUCUUCACUUAUAAGUUAUAAUCUAAGGUCUUCACCACUGAGCCGCCAGGCGUGUCCACACAGAGCAGCCUCGCGAAGCGUUUUCGUCGCGAAACAGCCCGGUCAGUGUGGACGUGACUCAGCCGAGAAUAUUUGGAUUCGCCAAUUGAAAAAUAAUGAUACCAACACUUUAUACGACAUUUAUAUGCAAAUUUUGUAAACCAACGAGAGCGUUUCACAUCCCGCUUCGUGGUCAGAUUUUUGCAAUUUUAA
This is a long non-coding RNA of Colias croceus (clouded yellow), 680 nucleotides long. RefSeq lists it as uncharacterized. Lineage: Eukaryota; Metazoa; Arthropoda; Insecta; Lepidoptera; Pieridae. The transcript is spliced from 3 exons. The record is from RefSeq and is a predicted model, not a curated record.